GAUGAAGAACGUAGCGAAAUGCGAUAAGUAAUGUGAAUUGCAGAAUUCAGUGAAUCAUCGAAUCUUUGAACGCACAUUGCGCCCGCCAGUAUUCUGGCGGGCAUGCCUGUUCGAGCGUCAUUUCAACCCUCAAGCCCCCGGGCUUGGUGUUGGGGAUCGGCGUGCCCUCGCGGCGCGCCGUCCCCUAAAUCUAGUGGCGGUCUCGCUGUAGCUUCCUCUGCGUAGUAGCAACACUCGCACUGGAUCGCAGCGCGGCCACGCCGUUAAACCCCCCACUUCUGAAAGUUUGACCUCGGAUCAGGUAGGAAUACCCGCUGAACUUAAGCAUAUCAAAGCGGAGGA
This 342-nucleotide unclassified non-coding RNA is filed under the name soil metagenome. Its description in RNAcentral is "partial contains 5.8S ribosomal RNA, internal transcribed spacer 2, and large subunit ribosomal RNA". The stretch from base 1 to 120 matches the Rfam family "5.8S ribosomal RNA", at positions 35 to 154 of the family's 154-position model. The record is from RNAcentral.